This 467-nucleotide long non-coding RNA is filed under the name Olea europaea subsp. europaea. Lineage: Eukaryota; Viridiplantae; Streptophyta; Magnoliopsida; Lamiales; Oleaceae. The record is from RNAcentral.
GGUAACCUAUGUUCCACCAAGUCUCUAUCUAAACCAGGCAUUUGUUCAUAUUCCCAAGCAAAACAAUCUUUGUACUCUUUUAACAAAGCGAUUAAUUUGUUACUAACCUCUUGGUCGAGCAUCUGGCUGAUGAACGUUGGGUGAUCUUCUCCUUCAUCGCCAAUAUUUACUUUGAUCAGAGGGUCUUGUGCUUGAGCGUAUCCAGGUUUGGCAAUCCGCAUCACUUCGUCGUCCAGUUCUUUUGUAAGUACUUCCUCUUCCAAACAGUCCACCUUGUUGACUUCUCGGCCAAUGCUUUGCUCUAACUCGAAUACUGCCAACUUGUCCUUCAGCGCUUUUAGGGCAGUCUCUUCCUUCGCUUUGUCAUUGCAUUCCUUAUUGAAAGCCAUCAGUCUGGCUUUGAAGGCCUGAAUGUCGGCCAUUCGCUUUUGUAACUUAAAGUCCAUUCAAGACUCCUUUAUUAUUCU